RNAcentral lists this long non-coding RNA (371 nucleotides) under Chinchilla lanigera (long-tailed chinchilla). RNAcentral describes it as "lncRNA (ENSCLAG00000025109.1)". The record is from RNAcentral. Lineage: Eukaryota; Metazoa; Chordata; Mammalia; Rodentia; Chinchillidae.
CUCAGAUAUAGCUGCUGUAUUGACAUCUCCUCUCUAAUUGUCUGAAGAAUUGGUUGUUUGGUAGGAGGGCAGAUAUAAGAGGAUCUCAAAGGUGGAUAAAGAUACUGGACUAUGAACUUCCCCUGUUGUUGUGAGCAGUGAUCUGUCAGCAAAUAAUGGUGACUUACAGGUGGAAAAAGGAACAAAAGCACCAUUCUUAAGCUGCCCCUUCUGGUUCAGGAAUUGCUGGGGAUUAAAAUCUUAUGGCUUGGAGAAAAGAUUUGGGUCUCUCUCAGCAUACAGCUGAGUACAGGAACACUUCAAUACCCUCCUUGCCUUUCACCUCCGGUUGCUUCAUGAGAACCAAAAGCCAAAAUGCAGAGCUGUGUUGA